RNAcentral lists this transfer RNA (62 nucleotides) under Hydrobius fuscipes. RNAcentral's name for it is "tRNA-Cys". The record is from RNAcentral. Lineage: Eukaryota; Metazoa; Arthropoda; Insecta; Coleoptera; Hydrophilidae.
AGUCUUAUAGUCAAAUAUGAUUUUAAAUUGCAAAUUUAAAGGUGGAGAUACCCCUAAGGCUU